GAAUAGCGUGAAAUUAAUUAAUUUAGAAUCUAUAUCCGAGUCGAUCCAAUCUUCAAUUUUCACAUUUUCAUCUGAGUUUUACGUUGAAACCUGUAAUAAAGAUAUAGGCUUGCGCGCAAUCCUUGGGUAUGCAUACGUAAUUGCGUAUCCACUGCCCCAGCGCCGCCUGGAAACUUCUUGAACUCUCGCGGACGUUAGAGAGUGAUGACACAUUGAACAGAGUAAAGUAAAAAUACUAUACUACGUCGCGCCUACGCGUCUGCUUCCUUCUCGAAAUUUCUAACACGUUCAAUGCUCCCGCUCUUUCGAUGCUUCGAUGCAAGCAUCAAUGAAACUUACCUGAUCUGGAGUUUUUAUGCACUGCCCUGCACUUAUCGAAUCCAGGGAAUUCAUUUUUAACCGACGGUUGCCUUGCAUGCACCUAUAUAUAUUGUUGCUGUUUACAUACAACUCAUUCUGAAGUCUGCCAUUCUAAUUUUUGUAAGAGUAUAAUAAUAUAUGUAUGCACAUAUUGCAUCCUUGGCAGAUACUGUGUACUAUAUAGGAAGUAAGAUUACAAAAGAGACGAAACUUUUGCUUGUCUAGCUUUAAAAAUUGGUCAAAUAUAUCAUAAUGAGUAGUGUCAGUUACUGCUAUUCGUGGUGCAAGUACUACAUGCUCGAUUAUUCGUACUACUUCGAUGGCUGCCUUGAAAGAAAUCAGCUGUCAGAAGAAACUGUCACUGCUUGUCGUCCUAAAGCUGAUCCGAAUACCCAUGCUUCUCCUCAUGGUAGUUGAUGUUAAUCUGAAGGAGGUUAUCUGACAGCACCAAGAGUUUUACCAAGGCUGGAAGUAUGGAACUGAAAACUUUUCAGGGCAAAUAGUUGUGAGGUCGUCAGAAAUCUCCUUGUCAAGAGUUUUUGGCACAAACUUUCCCUCAAGCUCCAAGAACUGAGGGGAGUUUACAUGAUUAUGGUAGAGAUCUUGUCGUCAACAGUCCUCAAGUUACUGUAUUCUCCAAAACAAAAUAACGCCAUGGAUUUAGAUUCAACCGAUGUUAUACAUAAGUAAUAUUAGAAUUUCAAGAAACUGUGGUCAGCAAUUCCUUAAUUACUCAAAAACAUUUCAUAUUUAGGAAUAUAUAACUCAUGUACCUUAAGUGUUUCAGUCAAUGUUGCAUAAUGUUUCCAGGAUCACAUCUUUGUUCCGGAUUGAAAAUAACGUGUGACUCCUAGCUAUGUAUAUAAGGAUUGUCAGAAUCAUAAAGAUUACAAAGCCUUAGAAUGCUCAACCAGUGUAAUACCUGAGGCUGGCUCUAAGUACUGAACAAAGUGGUUUUCAUAGGAUUUCUGGUGAAUGUUUCCACUAUAAAAGGAAACAAUGUAGCGCGCCAUUCCAAGUACUGUUUCCAGAAUCGGUGUGGAAAUGUACCUUAGUAUAGAAACGGUAUAGAACAAAACAAUAAUUCUGAACGUAAACUUAAAAUUCUAAAUGUGAUUUAUAACAGAAAUAUAUGUUCCCCCUUUUUCAACUAUAAUUGUAUUAAUGGAACAAGUAAAAGUGUUAUAUCCAUCGUCAAAGGAUUUGGAUUCAAGCUCGAGUUGCUUUUUUCUACUUUCGAAGUAGUUCUAUCCUUUUGUUCUGAAAACAAUUAAUACACAUAAGAGAAAAUUAGGUUCACCCAGUCUCUUUAAACAAUUUAUUUUAUAUUAAUUAAUUAUACAAUUUUUAUAGAUUACUUAAUUUUAAAUGUAAAGUAAUUUUUGUAAUGUAAAGUUUUGUGAAUUUCGCUUUGCGAAAAAGCAGUACUGUAUUAAACGACUAUCAUUAA
Long non-coding RNA from Cephus cinctus (wheat stem sawfly), 1810 nucleotides. RefSeq lists it as uncharacterized. Lineage: Eukaryota; Metazoa; Arthropoda; Insecta; Hymenoptera; Cephidae. The transcript has 2 exons. The record is from RefSeq and is a predicted model, not a curated record.